Molecule: non-coding RNA, 54 nt
Organism: Salmo salar (Atlantic salmon)
Lineage: Eukaryota; Metazoa; Chordata; Actinopteri; Salmoniformes; Salmonidae
Source: Rfam
CAUGAAGAUUCUUGUAAGUCGCUCUGGAUAAGAGCGUCUGCUAAAUGACGUAAA